Molecule: ribosomal RNA, 404 nt
Filed under: Rudisullianassa rudisulcus
Lineage: Eukaryota; Metazoa; Arthropoda; Malacostraca; Decapoda; Callianassidae
Description: partial small subunit ribosomal RNA
Rfam family: Microsporidia small subunit ribosomal RNA
Source: RNAcentral
AUUUUAGUUGUAACAUAUUUAACACCGGACUACUAAAAGCUAUAAUCUCCAAAUUUAAAGGAUUUGGCGGUAAUUUAGUCCAGUCAGAGGAACCUGUGUUUUAAACGAUAAACCACGCAAAAUCUUACCUUUAUUACAGUUUGUAUACCGUCAUUAUUAGAUAACUUUUAAAAAAAAAGUUAUUGAAAUAAACCUCUUUUAAUAUAUUAGAUCAAGGUGCAGCUUAUAUAUAGGUCUUUCAUGGGUUACAUUAAAAUUUAUUUACACGCAUACGAAUUUGAAAUUAUUCGACCAAGGAGGAUUUGAUAGUAAUUAUAGUUUAAUAUGCUAUAUUGAUAAAGGACCUAAAUUAUGUACAUAUCGCCCGUCACUUUCAUUUCCAAAUGAAAUAAGUCGUAACAUAG